UGGGGAAUAUUGGGCAAUGGGCGCAAGCCUGACCCAGCCAUGCCGCGUGAGUGAUGAAGGCCUUAGGGUUGUAAAGCUCUUUUAAUGGUGAAGAUGAUGACUGUAACCAUAGAAUAAGCACCGGCUAACUUCGUGCCAGCAGCCGCGGUAAUACGAAGGGUGCUAGCGUUGUUCGGAUUUACUGGGCGUAAAGGGCACGCAGGCGGCCUAACAAGUCAGGGGUGAAAUCCCGGGGCUCAACCCCGGAACUGCCUUUGAAACUGUUAGGCUAGAGACCGAGAGAGGUGAGUGGAAUUCCUAGUGUAGAGGUGAAAUUCGUAGAUAUUAGGAGGAACACCAGUGGCGAAGGCGGCUCACUGGCUCGGUACUGACGCUCAUGUGCGAAAGCGUGGGGAGCAAACAGG
Molecule: ribosomal RNA, 404 nt
Filed under: uncultured bacterium
Lineage: Bacteria
Description: bacterial SSU rRNA
Rfam family: Bacterial small subunit ribosomal RNA
Source: RNAcentral